This 342-nucleotide ribosomal RNA is filed under the name uncultured Pseudomonadota bacterium. RNAcentral's name for it is "bacterial SSU rRNA". It matches the Rfam family "Bacterial small subunit ribosomal RNA", at positions 28 to 351 of the family's 1533-position model. The record is from RNAcentral. Lineage: Bacteria; Pseudomonadati; Pseudomonadota.
GAUGAACGCUGGCGGCGUGCUUAACACAUGCAAGUCGAACGAUUAAAGCCCCUUCGGGGGUGUAUAGAGUGGCGAACGGGUGAGUAACGCGUGGGUAACCUACCCCUCGGCGGGGGAUAACUACUCGAAAGGGUGGCUAAUACCGCAUGAGACCACGAGGUCUUCGGACCUUGAGGCCAAAGGCUGCAUCGGCUUGCCGGUGUAGUCACCGGAGGAUGGGCCCGCGUCCGAUUAGCUAGUUGGUGAGGUAAUGGCUCACCAAGGCGACGAUCGGUAGCUGGUCUGAGAGGAUGAUCAGCCACACUGGAACUGGAACACGGUCCAGACUCCUACGGGAGGCAG